Long non-coding RNA from Dromaius novaehollandiae (emu), 407 nucleotides. RefSeq lists it as uncharacterized. The record is from RefSeq and is a predicted model, not a curated record. Lineage: Eukaryota; Metazoa; Chordata; Aves; Casuariiformes; Dromaiidae. The transcript is spliced from 4 exons.
UACACAUUCCUUACGCUGUUUUUCAGCUUCUCAAUAGACUGGGUCAGUGUUUGCAGCAAGAUGAGGAGGCUCUUCUGUAGAGAUAUUGAGAGGCUCCGUCUUCCACCUGCCACAUGGCAAUAAGAAAGGAAGGUUCACUUCAGGGCCAGUGUACCAUGUAAGUUCCAUUAUAUCCUGUUCUGGGACAAGAAGGAUGCAAAUGCACUAGGCUAGUCCACAUGCUACAUGAUGAAUUUCACCUCCAGUAAUCUUACUGAAAUUAACAGGGAUAACCUGUAUGAGUUAGUAUUAGAAAGAACAAAGUCAACAAGUGCUUCCAUCUGUCAAGCCAUCAUUUCACAAAAUGAAGAUGAUCCAGACAAGGUCAGCUCUAGUUACAACAGGCAAGUGGCUCUAGCGACUCAGUG